AGGGGAAACGAUAUUGGAAGCUUGCUUCCGAUAGGCGUCGACCGGCGCACGGGUGAGUAACGCGUAUCCAACCUGCCCACCACUUGGGGAUAACCUUGCGAAAGUAAGACUAAUACCCAAUGACGUCUCUAGAAGACAUCUGAAAGGGAUUAAAGAUUUAUCGGUGAUGGAUGGGGAUGCGUCUGAUUAGCUAGUUGGUGGGGUAACGGCCUACCAAGGCGACGAUCAGUAGCCGACCUGAGAGGGUGACCGGCCACAUUGGGACUGAGACACGGCCCAGACUCC
RNAcentral lists this ribosomal RNA (285 nucleotides) under uncultured bacterium. Its description in RNAcentral is "partial 16S ribosomal RNA". It matches the Rfam family "Bacterial small subunit ribosomal RNA", at positions 65 to 339 of the family's 1533-position model. The record is from RNAcentral.